UACGGGGGGGGCAAGCGUUGUUCGGAAUUACUGGGCGUAAAGGGCUCGUAGACGGCCAACUAAGUCAUACGUGAAAUCCCUCGGCUUAACCGGGGAACUGCGUCUGAUACUGGAUGGCUUGAGAUUGGGAGAGGGAUGCGGAAUUCCAGGUGUAGCGGUGAAAUGCGUAGAUAUACGGAGGAACACCAGCGGCGAAGGCGGGUAGCUGGGCCAACACUGACGCUAAAGCGCGAAAGCUAGGGUAGCAAACGGG
Molecule: ribosomal RNA, 253 nt
Filed under: uncultured bacterium
Lineage: Bacteria
Description: partial 16S ribosomal RNA
Rfam family: Bacterial small subunit ribosomal RNA
Source: RNAcentral